Molecule: ribosomal RNA, 252 nt
Filed under: uncultured bacterium
Lineage: Bacteria
Description: partial 16S ribosomal RNA
Rfam family: Bacterial small subunit ribosomal RNA
Source: RNAcentral
UACGAAGGGGGCUAGCGUUGCUCGGAAUUACUGGGCGUAAAGCGCACGUAGGCGGCUUUCUAAGUCGGGGGUGAAAUCCUGGAGCUCAACUCCAGAACUGCCUUCGAUACUGGAGCUUGAGUCCGGGAGAGGUGAGUGGAACUGCGAGUGUAGAGGUGAAAUUCGUAGAUAUUCGCAAGAACACCAGUGGCGAAGGCGGCUCACUGGCCCGGUACUGACGCUGAGGAGCGAAAGCUAGGGGAGCAAACGGGG